Small nuclear RNA from Dermacentor andersoni, 185 nucleotides. RefSeq annotates it as U2 spliceosomal RNA. The record is from RefSeq and is a predicted model, not a curated record. Lineage: Eukaryota; Metazoa; Arthropoda; Arachnida; Ixodida; Ixodidae.
AUGGCCGACGCGGGUGAAAGUGUAGUAUCUGUUCUCAUCAGCUUAAUAUCUGAUACGGGUUCUGUUUGGACACAAUAUAUUAAAUUUAUUUUUGCAAGUUGGCGGAGUGCUUGAAGCCUUGGUUCGUUGUCACCUCCGCUGCGGGUCGGCCGGGUAUUGCACCGUCUCCGGGAUCUCCGGUAUCU